CCUACGGGAGGCAGCAGUGAGGAAUAUUGGUCAAUGGGCGUAAGCCUGAACCAGCCAAGUCGCGUGAGGGAUGAGGGUUCUAUGGAGCGUAAACCUCUUUUAUAAGGGAAUAAAGUGCGGGACGUGUCCCGUAUUGUAUGUACCACAUGAAUAAGGAUCGGCUAACUCCGUGCCAGCAGCAGCGGUAAUACGGAGGAUCCGAGCGUUAUCCGGAUUUAUUGGGCUUAAAGGGUGCGUGGGCGGCCUUUUAAGUCAGCGGUGAAAGUCUGUGGCUCAACCAUAGAAUUGCCGUUGAAACUGGGAGGCUUGAGUAUGUUUGAGGUAGGGGGAAUGCGUGGUGUAGCGGUGAAAUGCUUAGAUAUCAGGCAGAACCUCGAUUGCGAAGGCAGUCUGCCAAGCCAUGAUUGACGCUGAUGCACGAAAGCGUGGGGAUCAAACAGGAUUAGAUACCCCUGUAGUC
This 460-nucleotide ribosomal RNA is filed under the name uncultured bacterium. RNAcentral's name for it is "partial 16S ribosomal RNA". It matches the Rfam family "Bacterial small subunit ribosomal RNA", at positions 338 to 795 of the family's 1533-position model. The record is from RNAcentral.